Molecule: long non-coding RNA, 401 nt
Filed under: Volvox carteri
Lineage: Eukaryota; Viridiplantae; Chlorophyta; Chlorophyceae; Chlamydomonadales; Volvocaceae
Description: long non-coding RNA (VCAR_LNC000105)
Source: RNAcentral
UUAAAUUUAGCCCGAGAGGCGUUGAUGUGACUUUGACCUCGGUCAAUGGAGGCAGCCAAACUUGUUUGUGCUCAUACGAUUUUUGUUGGCUACAGGCAAGAUACCUUGCAAUAGAGAACGCAAUAUAUUACGGAUAUUGCGUUUCAGCCGGGCGAGAUAUUAUGUUUGGUCCGUUACACACACACACACACACACACACACACACACACACACACACACACACACACACACACACACACACACACACACACACACACACACACACACACACACUGCCGCUAGCCAGGCUGGAUGUAGGCAUGGUUUGGGCACCGAGCAUCACUUGUUUACAUUAAUUAAGGCAUCUUACCUCGAGGCACACUGUGACUGGAGCCAGGCCGCUUAUUAUCAUGCAAAUUGAC